GACGAACGCUGGCGGCGUGCCUAACACAUGCAAGUCGAGCGGAGAAACAAAAGAGCAGCUUGCUGCGAUUUGUUUCUUAGCGGCGGACGGGUGAGUAACGCGUGGGUAAUCUGCCUCAAACAGGGGGAUAACACAGGGAAACUUGUGCUAAUACCGCAUAAGACCCCACCAUGGCAUCAUGGAGAGGUCAAAGGAAGAAAUUCCGGUUUGAGAUGAGCCCGCGUCUGAUUAGCUAGUUGGUGAGGUAACGGCUCACCAAGGCGACGAUCAGUAGCCGAACUGAGAGGUUGAUCGGCCACAUUGGGACUGAGACACGGCCCAGACUCCUACGGGAGGCAGCAGUGGGGAAUAUUGCACAAUGGGGAAACCCUGAUGCAGCGACGCCGCGUGAAGGAAGAAGGCCCUCGGGUUGUAAACUUCUUUGACCAGGGACGAAGAAAGUGACGGUACCUGGAGAACAAGCCACGGCUAACUACGUGCCAGCAGCCGCGGUAAAAGUACUA
Molecule: ribosomal RNA, 503 nt
Filed under: uncultured bacterium
Lineage: Bacteria
Description: bacterial SSU rRNA
Rfam family: Bacterial small subunit ribosomal RNA
Source: RNAcentral